Molecule: ribosomal RNA, 538 nt
Filed under: uncultured fungus
Lineage: Eukaryota; Fungi
Description: SSU rRNA
Rfam family: Eukaryotic small subunit ribosomal RNA
Source: RNAcentral
AGCAGCCGCGGUAAUUCCAGCUCCAAUAGCGUAUAUUAAAGUUGUUGCAGUUAAAAAGCUCGUAGUUGAAUUUCGGGGUUCUACCGUUGGUCGGGCAAUAGUCUGUACUGGCGUGUGGAAUUUCUACCUUCUGGGGAACCAUCAUGUUAUUUAUUUAGCGUGGUGGGAAACCAGGACCUUUACCUUGAAAAAAUUAGAGUGUUCAAAGCAGGCUUACGUCUGAAUACAUUAGCAUGGAAUAAUAAAAUAGGACGGUGGUCCUGUUUUGUUGGUUUCUGAAUCACCGUAAUGAUUAAUAGGGAUAGUUGGGGGCAUUAGUAUUCAAUUGUCAGAGGUGAAAUUCUUGGAUUUAUUGAAGACUAACUUCUGCGAAAGCAUUUGCCAAGGAUGUUUUCAUUAAUCAAGAACGAAAGUUAGGGGAUCGAAGACGAUCAGAUACCGUCGUAGUCUUAACCAUAAACUAUGCCGACUAGGGAUCGGACGAUGUUAAUUUUUCUUGACUCGUUCGGCGCCUUACGGGAACCAAAGUGUUUGGGUU